CAGAGUUGAAAAACUCCCUAACCCUUUGUUUACAUACCUGUCCCGUUGCUUCGGCAGGCGGCCCCAGGGCGGGGCCUCCAGCCUGCGUUAGCAGGUGUCUGCCGCUGGCGAAAAACUCUUUUGUUAUAUGUACUGCUCUGAGUCACACAAAAAAAUGAAUCA
RNAcentral lists this unclassified non-coding RNA (162 nucleotides) under uncultured Sordariomycetes. RNAcentral describes it as "sequence contains ITS1". Lineage: Eukaryota; Fungi; Ascomycota; Sordariomycetes. The record is from RNAcentral.